This 497-nucleotide ribosomal RNA is filed under the name uncultured bacterium. RNAcentral's name for it is "partial 16S ribosomal RNA". It matches the Rfam family "Bacterial small subunit ribosomal RNA", at positions 28 to 507 of the family's 1533-position model. The record is from RNAcentral.
GAUGAACGCUGGCGGCGUGCUUAAUACAUGCAAGUCGAGCGAAGAGACGAGGAUCUUGCUCUUCUGAUGUUGUCGGCGGACGGGUGAGUCACCCGUGGAUAACCUACCUAUAUGGCUGGGAUAACUUCGACAAACCGUAGCUAAUACCGGAUAACAUCAUGAACCGGAUGGUUCAACAGUGAAAUAUGGUCUUGCUUUGACUUCUCGAUUGAUCCGCGCCGCGGUGACUAAUUGGUAAGGUAACGGCUUAACAAGGCAACGAUGCGUAGCCGACCUCAGAGGGUGAUCGCCCACACUGUAACUGAGACACGUGCCAGGCUCCUACGGGUGGCAGCAGUAGGGAACCUGCCGCAAUAGGCGAAAGCCUGACGGAGCAACGCCGCGUGAGUGAAGAAGGUCUGCGGAUCGUAAAACUCUGUUAUUAGGGAAGAACAAAUGUGUAAGUAACUAUGCACGUCUUGACGGUACCUAAUCAGAAGGCCACGGCUAAGUACGUG